GAUCAACGCUGGCGGCGUGCUUAACACAUGCAAGUCGAACGGUGAAGGCGGAGCUUGCUCUGCUGGAUCAGUGGCGAACGGGUGAGUAACACGUGAGCAAUCUGCCCCUGACUCUGGGAUAAGCGCUGGAAACGGCGUCUAAUACUGGAUACGAGCUGCGAAGGCAUCUUCAGCAGCUGGAAAGAAUUUCGGUCAGGGAUGAGCUCGCGGCCUAUCAGCUUGUUGGUGAGGUAAUGGCUCACCAAGGCGUCGACGGGUAGCCGGCCUGAGAGGGUGACCGGCCACACUGGGACUGAGACACGGCCCAGACUCCUACGGGAGGCAGCAGUGGGGAAUAUUGCACAAUGGGCGAAAGCCUGAUGCAGCAACGCCGCGUGAGGGACGACGGCCUUCGGGUUGUAAACCUCUUUUAGCAGGGAAGAAGCGAAAGUGACGGUACCUGCAGAAAAAGCGCCGGCUAACUACGUG
Molecule: ribosomal RNA, 468 nt
Filed under: uncultured bacterium
Lineage: Bacteria
Description: partial 16S ribosomal RNA
Rfam family: Bacterial small subunit ribosomal RNA
Source: RNAcentral